Punica granatum (pomegranate) is the source of this 911-nucleotide non-coding RNA. NCBI's taxonomy places the organism in Eukaryota, Viridiplantae, Streptophyta, Magnoliopsida, Myrtales, Lythraceae. The record is from RefSeq and is a predicted model, not a curated record.
UGUACAGUGUCUCCUGACCUAAUCUAAAAAUAAGUAAGUGCCACCUACUUCUAAUUCCGAUUAGAUUUCCAGCCAAAAGGAGAGCACACACCUCUCACAUGUCAAAAUAUAAAGGGCAAGAAGGUCACACUAAUCAAAAUACUCGUGAUAAAAAGAAUCAAAAUAAAAUAAGAUUAUGGCAUAAUUACACUCCCCCAAUUCACCAGCACUGUGACGUCUCCACUGCAGACCAGCCCCCGCAACCUCAACUCCCCGACCACGUUCUGGCCGACUAAAUCACGCACGACCAGGCUCGGACGCAGACCAGACUCGCGAGCCCCUCUCCUCGACCAGAAUUCGAUGACCUCUGCUCCCCGAAGACCAUACCUCGGCUUCAUCAGUUGUGCACGCAGCCACGCGCCCAACAGCUUUUCCUGCAGCCACAUGCUCUCGCAUUUGUCGAUGAGAAUUUUGUCCCGAAGACUGUCGCGACGAAAAUAGGCACUUCAUGAUGGGGUGGAAGUUGAGAGAGGAAAGCCAUGAAAGGUCGACUCCAGAAUACAAAGAAAUUGGUUUGGCUUCACAGUCUUCAGUAGCAAGCGAUCACCGAAACUGAAUUUGGAGAAUAAAGUGAUGUUACUUUUCUUUCAUUCAGGAAACCUAUUGAACUAAGCUCUCUCUCUAGACUUGAUUUAUUUUGUGUUUCUGCUAUGGACUAAGCAGACAUGGUUUGUGGCGUUUUGGCUUUUAGAUGAAUGAAUGGUGCAUUUUCAUAUUGUUGGGGAGAAAGAAUCGUGUAAAUGGUUUUGGAAUCACAGCUGAGAUCUGAACUCAUUUUGAUUAGUGUAGAUUCGAUUAGGUUGAUUUUGUCCAAACAGGAUGAUGAUAAUUUUGUUAUUGGUCAUGUUCAUUAUGAUAUUUUGUUUUUGCUU